RNAcentral lists this ribosomal RNA (482 nucleotides) under uncultured Flavobacteriaceae bacterium. RNAcentral describes it as "bacterial SSU rRNA". It matches the Rfam family "Bacterial small subunit ribosomal RNA", at positions 28 to 505 of the family's 1533-position model. The record is from RNAcentral. Lineage: Bacteria; Pseudomonadati; Bacteroidota; Flavobacteriia; Flavobacteriales; Flavobacteriaceae.
GAUGAACGCUAGCGGCAGGCUUAACACAUGCAAGUCGAGGGGCAGCAUUUCCGCUUGCGGAAGAUGGCGACCGGCGCACGGGUGCGUAACGCGUAUAGAACCUACCUUUAACAAAGGAAUAGCCCGAAGAAAUUUGGAUUAAUACCUUAUAGUAUUCAUGAAUGGCAUCAUUUAUGGAUUAAAGAUUUAUCGGUUAAAGAUGGCUAUGCGUUCUAUUAGCUAGUUGGUAAAGUAAUGGUUUACCAAGGCAACGAUAGAUAGGGGUCCUGAGAGGGAGAUCCCCCACACUGGUACUGAGACACGGACCAGACUCCUACGGGAGGCAGCAGUGAGGAAUAUUGGACAAUGGAGGCAACUCUGAUCCAGCCAUGCCGCGUGUAGGAAGACUGCCUUAUGGGUUGUAAACUACUUUUAUAUAGGAAGAAACACAGAUACGUGUAUUUGUUUGACGGUACUAUAAGAAUAAGGAUCGGCUAACUCCG